GGGGGGGGGGGGGGGGGGGCCUGGUGGGGGGGGGGAGGGGGCUGGAGGGGGGGGGUGGCUCUUCUUGGAUGGGGUGCGAACGGGGGGGUAGCGCGUCGGUAGGCUGCCGUGUGGCGGGGGAGGACUAUUGGAGACGAUGUCUAAUCCCGCAUAACCAGGGAUGCCACCGGUCAUGUAUUUGACGGGGACGAUUACUCCACUACACGAUGGGCCGGCGUUGUAGUAGCUAGUAGGUGAGGAACCGGCUCACCUCGGCGCCGAUACAUAGCCGACCUGGCAUGGUGGUCGGUCACACUGGGACUGAGACACGGCCCAGACUCCUACGGGAGGCAGCAGUAGGGAAUCUUCGGCAAUGGGGGCAACCCUGACCGAGCAACGCCGCGUGAGGGAAGAAGGUUUUCGGAUCGUAAAGCUCGGUUGUAAGUCAAGAACGAGUGUGAGAGUGGAAAGUUCACACUGUGACGGUAGCUUACCAGAAAGGGACGGCUAGCUACGUG
This 497-nucleotide ribosomal RNA is filed under the name uncultured bacterium. Its description in RNAcentral is "partial 16S ribosomal RNA". It matches the Rfam family "Bacterial small subunit ribosomal RNA", at positions 38 to 507 of the family's 1533-position model. The record is from RNAcentral.